This 614-nucleotide ribosomal RNA is filed under the name Clostridioides difficile. RNAcentral describes it as "partial 23S ribosomal RNA". It matches the Rfam family "Bacterial large subunit ribosomal RNA", at positions 1477 to 2101 of the family's 2925-position model. Lineage: Bacteria; Bacillati; Bacillota; Clostridia; Peptostreptococcales; Peptostreptococcaceae. The record is from RNAcentral.
GUAGGAUAAGCUAAGCACACUGUUGGUUAUGUGUGCCCAAGCAUUGAGGCAGUCAAAGUAGGCAAAUCCGCUUUGAUAAUGCUGGGAUGUGAUGGGGAGCGAAAUUUAGUAGCGAAGUAGCUGAUUUCACACUGUCAAGAAAAGUCUCUAUCGAGGUUAAAGGUACCCGUACCGCAAACCGACACAGGUGGGUGAGGAGAGUAUCCUAAGGCCAGCGAGAGAACUGUUGUUAAGGAACUCGGCAAAAUGACCCCGUAACUUAGGGAUAAGGGGUGCCACCAUCAGGUGGCCGCAGAGAAUAGGCCCAAGCGACUGUUUACCAAAAACAUAGGUUUCUGCUAAGUCGCAAGACGAUGUAUAGGAGCUGACGCCUGCCCGGUGCUGGAAGGUUAAGGGGAUCUGUUAGAGCAAUCGAAGCAGUGAACUUAAGCCCCAGUAAACGGCGGCCGUAACUAUAACGGUCCUAAGGUAGCGAAAUUCCUUGUCGGGUAAGUUCCGACCCGCACGAAAGGCGUAACGAUUUGGGCACUGUCUCAACAACAGACUCGGUGAAAUUGUAAUUCCGGUGAAGAUGCCGGAUACCUGCGACAGGACGGAAAGACCCCAUGGAGCUU